This 532-nucleotide ribosomal RNA is filed under the name uncultured bacterium. RNAcentral describes it as "bacterial SSU rRNA". It matches the Rfam family "Bacterial small subunit ribosomal RNA", at positions 355 to 880 of the family's 1533-position model. The record is from RNAcentral.
UGGGGAAUUUUGGACAAUGGGCGCAAGCCUGAUCCAGCAAUGCCGCGUGAGUGAAGAAGGCCUUCGGGUUGUAAAGCUCUUUUGUCAGGGAAGAAACGGCUGUGGCUAAUAUCCACGGCUAAUGACGGUACCUGAAGAAUAAGCACCGGCUAACUACGUGCCAGCAGCCGCGGUAAUACGUAGGGUGCAAGCGUUAAUCGGAAUUACUGGGCGUAAAGCGUGCGCAGGCGGUUUUGUAAGUCUGUCGUGAAAUCCCCGGGCUCAACCUGGGAAUUGCGAUGGAGACUGCAAGGCUAGAAUCUGGCAGAGGGGGGUAGAAUUCCACGUGUAGCAGUGAAAUGCGUAGAGAUGUGGAGGAACACCGAUGGCGAAGGCAGCCCCCUGGGUCAAGAUUGACGCUCAUGCACGAAAGCGUGGGGAGCAAACAGGAUUAGAUACCCUGGUAGUCCACGCCCUAAACGAUGUCUACUAGUUGUCGGGUUUUAAUUAACUUGGUAACGCAGCUAACGCGUGAAGUAGACCGCCUGGGAGA